UCGGAAUCUGGGAGGACCAUCUCCUAAGGCUAAAUACUCUCUAGUGACCGAUAGUGAACCAGUACCGUGAGGGAAAGGUGAAAAGCACCCCGGAAGGGGAGUGAAAUAGAACCUGAAACCGUGUGCUUACAAGUAGUCAGAGCCCGUUAAUGGGUGAUGGCGUGCCUUUUGUAGAAUGAACCGGCGAGUUACGAUUUGAUGCAAGGUUAAGCAGUAAAUGUGGAGCCGUAGCGAAAGCGAGUCUGAAUAGGGCGUUUAGUAUUUGGUCGUAGACCCGAAACCAGGUGAUCUACCCUUGGUCAGGUUGAAGUUCAGGUAACACUGAAUGGAGGACCGAACCGACUUACGUUGAAAAGUGAGCGGAUGAACUGAGGGUAGCGGAGAAAUUCCAAUCGAACCUGGAGAUAGCUGGUUCUCUCCGAAAUAGCUUUAGGGCUAGCCUCAAGUGAUGAUUAUUGGAGGUAGAGCACUGUUUGGACGAGGGGCCCCUCUCGGGUUACCGAAUUCAGACAAACUCCGAAUGCCAAUUAAUUUAACUUGGGAGUCAGAACAUGGGUGAUAAGGUCCGUGUUCGAAAGGGAAACAGCCCAGACCACCAGCUAAGGUCCCAAAAUAUAUGUUAAGUGGAAAAGGAUGUGGCGUUGCCCAGACAACUAGGAUGUUGGCUUAGAAGCAGCCAUCAUUUAAAGAGUGCGUAAUAGCUCACUAGUCGAGUGACACUGCGCCGAAAAUGUACCGGGGCUAAACAUAUUACCGAAGCUGUGGAUUGUCCUUUGGACAAUGGUAGGAGAGCGUUCUAAGGGCGUUGAAGCAUGAUCGUAAGGACAUGUGGAGCGCUUAGAAGUGAGAAUGCCGGUGUGAGUAGCGAAAGACGGGUGAGAAUCCCGUCCACCGAUUGACUAAGGUUUCCAGAGGAAGGCUCGUCCGCUCUGGGUUAGUCGGGUCCUAAGCUGAGGCCGACAGGCGUAGGCGAUGGAUAACAGGUUGAUAUUCCUGUACCACCUAUAAUCGUUUUAAUCGAUGGGGGGACGCAGUAGGAUAGGCGAAGCGUGCGAUUGGAUUGCACGUCUAAGCAGUAAGGCUGAGUAUUAGGCAAAUCCGGUACUCGUUAAGGCUGAGC
RNAcentral lists this ribosomal RNA (1120 nucleotides) under Staphylococcus aureus. Its description in RNAcentral is "partial 23S ribosomal RNA". It matches the Rfam family "Bacterial large subunit ribosomal RNA", at positions 437 to 1561 of the family's 2925-position model. The record is from RNAcentral. Lineage: Bacteria; Bacillati; Bacillota; Bacilli; Caryophanales; Staphylococcaceae.